GUGCCAGCCGCCGCGGUAAUACGGAGGGUCCAAGCGUUAUCCGGAAUCAUUGGGUUUAAAGGGUGCGCAGGCGGUAAAGUAAGUCAGUGGUGAAAUCUCUCGGCUCAACCGAGAAACUGCCAUUGAUACUGCUAUACUUGAAUAUAGUCGAAGUGGGCGGAAUGUGACAUGUAGCGGUGAAAUGCUUAGAUAUGUCACAGAACACCGAUAGCGAAGGCAGCUCACUAGACUAACAUUGACGCUCAUGCACGAAAGCGUGGGGAGCGAACAGGAUUAGAAACCCGAGUAGUCC
This 292-nucleotide ribosomal RNA is filed under the name uncultured bacterium. RNAcentral's name for it is "partial 16S ribosomal RNA". It matches the Rfam family "Bacterial small subunit ribosomal RNA", at positions 505 to 796 of the family's 1533-position model. The record is from RNAcentral.